CCAAUAGCGUAUAUUAAAGUUGCUGCAGUUAAAAAGCUCGUAGUUGAAUUUCGGGACCAAUAUGUCGGUCGUGCCUCGGUACGUACUGGCAUUGUUGGUUUCUCCUUUCUGAAGAACCAUGAUGUCAUUUAUUUGGUGUCGUGGGGAAUCAGGACUGUUACUUUGAAAAAAUUAGAGUGUUUAAAGCAGGCUCACGCUUGAAUACAUUAGCAUGGAAUAAUGAAAUAGGACGUUUGAUUCUAUUUUGUUGGUUUCUAGGAUCGACGUAAUGAUUAAUAGGGAUAGUUGGGGGCAUUAGUAUUCAAUUGUCAGAGGUGAAAUUCUUGGAUUUAUUGAAGACUAACUACUGCGAAAGCAUUUGCCAAGGAUGUUUUCAUUAAUCAAGAACGAAAGUUAGGGGAUCGAAGACGAUCAGAUACCGUCGUAGUCUUAACCAUAAACUAUGCCGACUAGGGAUCGGAUGAUGUUAAUUUUUUAAUGACUCAUUCGGCGCCUUACG
Molecule: ribosomal RNA, 499 nt
Filed under: uncultured Glomeromycotina
Lineage: Eukaryota; Fungi; Glomeromycota
Description: partial small subunit ribosomal RNA
Rfam family: Eukaryotic small subunit ribosomal RNA
Source: RNAcentral